AGUGAACGCUGGCGGUAGGCCUAACACAUGCAAGUCGAACGGCAGCACAGUAAGAGCUUGCCCUUACGGGUGGCGAGUGGCGGGUGGGUGAGACGUACAUCAGAAUCUACUUUUUCGUGGGUGAUAACGUAGGGAAACUUACGCUAAUACCGCAUACUUCCUACGGGUGAAGGCAGGGGAUAUUCGUACCUUUCCUGACUCAAUGAGACGGUGUCGGAUUAGCUAGUUGGCGAGGUAAAGGCCCACCAAGGCGACGAUCCGUAGCUGGUCUGAGAGGAUGAUCAGCCACACUGGAACUGAGACACGGUCCAGACUCCUACGGGAGGCAGCAGUGGGGAAUAUUGGACAAUGGGCGAAAGCCUGAUGCAGCCAUACCGCGUGAGUGAAGAAGGCCUUCGGGUUGUAAAGCCCUUUUGUUGGGGAAGAAAAGCAGUAGAUUAAUACCCCGAUGUUCUGACGGUACCCAAAGAAUAAGCACCGGCUAACUUCGUG
Molecule: ribosomal RNA, 492 nt
Filed under: uncultured bacterium
Lineage: Bacteria
Description: partial 16S ribosomal RNA
Rfam family: Bacterial small subunit ribosomal RNA
Source: RNAcentral